RNAcentral lists this ribosomal RNA (625 nucleotides) under Yersinia enterocolitica. RNAcentral describes it as "partial 23S ribosomal RNA". It matches the Rfam family "Bacterial large subunit ribosomal RNA", at positions 1 to 673 of the family's 2925-position model. The record is from RNAcentral. Lineage: Bacteria; Pseudomonadati; Pseudomonadota; Gammaproteobacteria; Enterobacterales; Yersiniaceae.
AAGCGACUAAGCGUACACGGUGGAUGCCUAGGCAGUCAGAGGCGAUGAAGGGCGUGCUAAUCUGCGAAAAGCGUCGGUAAGGUGAUAUGAACCGUUAUAACCGACGAUACCCGAAUGGGGAAACCCAGUGCAAUUCGUUGCACUAUUGCAUGGUGAAUACAUAGCCAUGCAAGGCGAACCGGGGGAACUGAAACAUCUAAGUACCCCGAGGAAAAGAAAUCAACCGAGAUUCCCCCAGUAGCGGCGAGCGAACGGGGAGGAGCCCAGAACCUGAAUCAGCGUAUGUGUUAGUGGAAGCGUCUGGAAAGUCGCACGGUACAGGGUGAUAGUCCCGUACACAAAAAUGCAUAUGUUGUGAGUUCGAUGAGUAGGGCGGGACACGUGACAUCCUGUCUGAAUAUGGGGGGACCAUCCUCCAAGGCUAAAUACUCCUGACUGACCGAUAGUGAACCAGUACCGUGAGGGAAAGGCGAAAAGAACCCCGGCGAGGGGAGUGAAACAGAACCUGAAACCGUGUACGUACAAGCAGUGGGAGCACCUUCGUGGUGUGACUGCGUACCUUUUGUAUAAUGGGUCAGCGACUUAUAUUUUGUAGCAAGGUUAACCGAAUAGGGGAGCCGUAGGG